This 159-nucleotide ribosomal RNA is filed under the name Columnea purpusii. RNAcentral describes it as "5.8S ribosomal RNA". It matches the Rfam family "5.8S ribosomal RNA". Rfam says of the family: 5.8S ribosomal RNA (5.8S rRNA) is a component of the large subunit of the eukaryotic ribosome. It is transcribed by RNA polymerase I as part of the 45S precursor that also contains 18S and 28S rRNA. The record is from RNAcentral. Lineage: Eukaryota; Viridiplantae; Streptophyta; Magnoliopsida; Lamiales; Gesneriaceae.
CUCGGCAACGGAUAUCUCGGCUCUCGCAUCGAUGAAGAACGUAGCGAAAUGCGAUACUUGGUGUGAAUUGCAGAAUCCCGUGAACCAUCGAGUCUUUGAACGCAAGUUGCGCCCGAAGCCAUUAGGUCGAGGGCACGCCUGCCUGGGCGUCACGCAUCG